Choloepus didactylus (southern two-toed sloth) is the source of this 1366-nucleotide long non-coding RNA. RefSeq lists it as uncharacterized. The transcript is spliced from 3 exons. The record is from RefSeq and is a predicted model, not a curated record. Lineage: Eukaryota; Metazoa; Chordata; Mammalia; Pilosa; Megalonychidae.
GUCGUUUCCGGAGGUUCUGGACAGCACGCAGUGGUGAUCUCUUUUAUGGGGUGGGAGGCUCGUAAAGAACCGAGAGCCCCACUUAAGAGCUGAGAAGCUUGGCCAGCUCCCCACGCAGAGAGCUGGGGGUGGGGGUGGAGGAGUCCCAGAGGGGGUCUCCAGAAAUCAGCCAGGCUCUCCUGCCCCUCCCUGAGUAAACCAGCAUGGGGUUGGGACCCUAGAAACCCCUGAGAACCCACCAAGCCCCCACCCAUCCUCCCUGCGCUGCACCACCGGAUACCCCUGCUUCCCACUGGGCGUCCUGCUCCAGAGCAGGAGCUCAACUGAUGCUUGUAGGGAAAGGGAACAGACGAGAGAGGUGGGGUGCACUCCUCUCCUGGUUCCCCAAGAGGGGCUGGGGAUCACAGAUUUCUUGGGAGGGCUCCGGGAAGGGGAGGGAAAGCAGGGGAGGGAGGAGAUAACUGAGAGUUUAACACUUUAAUUCCACGAAGAUAUAUGGGCUGCUUAAAAAAGAAUUGUAGGCAUGCAUAGAUGUAUUUUGGCCAGUUCUGGGUUCUGGGGUCAGGCUGAGCAGGGGGUGGAGAGAGGUCUAAGAACGGGGGUCCCCACCGCUGGCUCUGGCACCCAGGGAGCGUCAGCUGGGGCCUCAGUUUCCCUUCUGUAAAGGGACAGGGGCCAGCCCCCAGUCCUGCACCCCGGCUGCCCUCCAGCCCCCAGCCCCUGCAGCGCCCUUGGCCGUGGAAGCUUCCUGACGCACUCCCGCCUUCCUGUUGCCGCUCCCGACCUUAUCGAGGCUCUGCCGCCCUGGCUGGCCCGGCCGUGGCCCUUGCUGACUCAUCCAGCCGCCUCUGAAGAUGAAUGGCCUGGCUUGGGAAGAACAGAAUGUGAUCUCCGCCUGGGGUUCUGUGCUGGCCAUGGCCUCGUCGGCUUUUCCAAGGCAUGAGUGGUGAAUGAGAGCUUGGGAACUGCCGGAACCACGGGACUUGCCGGGGCUGGGGAGGCGGGCCCCUUUCCAAGGGAACUGAACACGGCCUUUGGGAACUCUUCUUAAAAUUCUCUGGGGACACUGAAAGCAUGGAAGGCCCCACAGAGGUCAUAGCUGGUCACCCACACGCAUUGAGCACCGACAGCAUGCAGGACCCGUCCAUGAAAGGGAUGGGGGUGGAGAACAGACAGACCCCAACGUCACCAACCUCCUUUGUGGUUCUCUGAGCCUCUAUUUACCACCCUGCAAAGGGUUGGCUGGGAACAGGGAACCCUGUUCACACCUUUGGCUUGUACAGUACGAGCAAAUCCUGCAUUGGCACACAUGUAUUUAUACAUAUGCAUGUAAAUUCUCAACCAGCUUCGUGCGCUCCGACGCGGC